This 29-nucleotide small RNA is filed under the name Bombyx mori (domestic silkworm). RNAcentral describes it as "ovarian small RNA-28557". The record is from RNAcentral. Lineage: Eukaryota; Metazoa; Arthropoda; Insecta; Lepidoptera; Bombycidae.
UCGCACAAUACACAGUGUGGCAUGGCGGC